ACUCUCAUUUAGAAAUCUCUUCAACUAAAUUAUAGUUGAUGUGGUAAAUAACAAAUUUAAUAUGUUACCUUACGAAUAUCAUUUGGAACAUUCUAGUUUCCCUUAUCUCUGUUCUAGGAAAUAUGCUUCCUCCAAGAGAUGAUUUCCUGCUGCAUUUUGCAUCAAUGCUUUUUCCACUGUGUCUUCCUUUCGUAAGCCUAGAUUAACCUAUUAAUUUAAAAAGCCGUAUCUUUCAUGGUGUGCUUGGAAACCAAAUCUGAGUAACCAGACACUUGCACAAGUGAUUUUAUCGAGUGUGUUCUGUUUAUUUAACCACCCCACUUGCUCCUUAUUAUUAAAUUCUUAUGCCCUACCCCAAGACAACACCAUGUACUUUGUAUUGUCCUACCAUACGUUAAAAUGUGUUGUUUAUAACUUUUCCACUUCUUUUGAUCUUUUGGAGCCACGUCCCCUGAACUUCAUGGGCAUCUGUUUGACUACAGGAUGGAAGUCAACAGGCGAGAGGGUUUCAAAAGCAUGAAAGAGCUGAGUCUCUAAGUCCACUGAUGACAGGAAAAUCUUCAGUGGUUCCAGAGACAAGCUGCUGGAAAUCCUGCACAUUUAUCUUCCAGGAGGAAUCUGGCAUCUUCAUGCAACUGAAAGGAUGUUCCACUGAACAGUGACGACUCUGGAGAGAGAAAAGAAAUCACAGAUGGCCAAAUGCAGCUUGAGAGCCACUGAGGGAAGGCCAAGUGAGGAUAGAUCAAGAAGGCAGCUAUCUAUAAGCCAGGAAGAGAAUCUCACCAAAACCCAAAUCGUCUGGCACCUUGAACAUGGACUUCCAGCCUCCAGAAUUCUUCUCCUCUUGAAAGGAAGUCCACAAGUCAUCAGUGGCAUAUAAAUGGAAAACAUCCAAAUUUGAGUUCUUCUCACCACUCAGAAAUAUCAUGCCUCCCAUGUAGUCAAGAGAGGUAAGAAAAUCUUGGUAUUAUUUAUUUCUAAUUUUCUCCUAGAGGUUUCGCUAUUUAUUCUUU
RNAcentral lists this long non-coding RNA (1013 nucleotides) under Mustela putorius furo (domestic ferret). RNAcentral describes it as "lncRNA (ENSMPUG00000030209.1)". Lineage: Eukaryota; Metazoa; Chordata; Mammalia; Carnivora; Mustelidae. The record is from RNAcentral.